CAACUGCUCCUGUUAUUCUUCUAAUCACUUUAUUCUAUUUCUUCAAUGUUUCCAUUGUUGGAUCACUUGUGCAUUCUUCAUUAAUCAUUAUAUUUCUGGAUGUGAACCGAUUUUCUUUUGUAGAUUGAUGGCGAAUCGCUGUAGGGGAAAAGAUACAAUCUUUUGAUUCAAAUGGAAAAAACAAUAGUCUUUCUCUGGUUUUUGGAAGCAACUGCUUUUUGGGUUUCUUUUAAUUCAACUGUUUCAAUUAGUACUGUAAUUAUUUAAUUAAUAAUUAUUUCUUAGUAUCGAAAGUUUGGCGGCAAAUGACACAUAAAAAUCCCAUAUCAGGUGGGCUUCUGGCUUGGAGGCAGCCGCAACUCCAAACGCACGCCGACCACACAAAUUCAGAAAUCCUUAAAGUUUUAUAUAUAAAGCACUAAUGCACUUUGCUUUUGCAAGAAUUCGUGUUCCUUUUUUACAGCUUCAAGGAUUAGUUUAUGGCUUUAGGGUGGGUUCAGUGUCUCCUUCAUGUGCCUUGUCGCCUCCGCUUAGGUCACAGCCCUUCAGUUCCACCAACACCAGAUUUAUUGCACCUACCAGACUAGCUCAAUACAGAAGCAAAUGCGUAAUGAACAGGAAAGUUUUGCUUUCAAAGGAAUUGUGGCUUCUGGGGUUUCAGUCAUGGGUUCUUCUCAGUGAACCUGUUAAAGGUCAGUUUUUGCCAUUUAGCUACUCAAUUUUUGUGUAUUUUAGCCUUUCCUUUUGGGUCAAAUACAGAAAAAUCUUCAUCUAAUUUGAUGCCACUUUCGUAGUUGAUUAGCUAGCCUAAAAUCUCAUUGACUAACGGUAUUUGUAUUUGUUUUCCUUACAGAAAGCUGUGUCAUCGUCACUAACAGUUUUGACCCUUACAUCUCUGCAUAUCAUGUGCUCACUUGAGAGCAAUUUGAUUAAGCUGGACAUUUUUUUUCAGGGCUAGAGAGCUUGCCAUACAAGCCAGAAGGCUACAAUUAUUGGACAUGGCGGGGUCACAAAAUACAUUAUGUAGUGCAAGGAGAAGGGUUUCCUAUUGUUCUCAUUCAUGGUUUUGGUGCUUCUGCGUUUCAUUGGAGAUACAACAUACCUGAGUUGGCCAAAAGAUAUAAGGUUUAUGCGUUAGACUUGCUAGGUUUUGGAUGGAGCGAGAAAGCAAUUAUUGAGUAUGAUGCCAUGUUACGGAGGGAUCAAGUGGUAGAUUUUUUGAAGGAAAUUGUGAAAGAGCCAGCAGUUGUAGUGGGAAA
This 1259-nucleotide unclassified non-coding RNA is filed under the name Hevea brasiliensis (rubber tree). The record is from RNAcentral. Lineage: Eukaryota; Viridiplantae; Streptophyta; Magnoliopsida; Malpighiales; Euphorbiaceae.